Molecule: ribosomal RNA, 447 nt
Filed under: uncultured bacterium
Lineage: Bacteria
Description: bacterial SSU rRNA
Rfam family: Bacterial small subunit ribosomal RNA
Source: RNAcentral
AUUGAACGCUGGCGGCGUGCCUAACACAUGCAAGUCGAGCGGUAACAGGUGUAGCAAUACAUGCUGACGAGCGGCGGACGGGUGAGUAACGCUUGGGAAUCUGCCUAUUAGUGGGGGACAACCCGGGGAAACUCGGGCUAAUACCGCAUACGCUCUACGGAGGAAAGCCGGGGACCGCAAGGCCUGGCGCUAAUAGAUGAGCCCAAGUCGGAUUAGCUAGUUGGUAGGGUAANGGCCUACCAAGGCGACGAUCCGUAACUGGUCUGAGAGGACGACCAGUCACACCGGAACUGAGACACGGUCCGGACUCCUACGGGAGGCAGCAGUGGGGAAUAUUGGACAAUGGGCGAAAGCCUGAUCCAGCGACGCCGCGUGGGUGAAGAAGGCCUGCGGGUUGUAAAGCCCUUUCAGUAGGGAAGAAAAGCCGAGUGCUAAUAUCACUCGGUC